RNAcentral lists this transfer RNA (82 nucleotides) under bacterium. RNAcentral describes it as "tRNA-Ser". It matches the Rfam family "tRNA". From Rfam's summary of the family: Transfer RNA (tRNA) molecules are approximately 80 nucleotides in length. Their secondary structure includes four short double-helical elements and three loops (D, anti-codon, and T loops). The record is from RNAcentral.
GGAAGCGUCGCCUAGCGGCUAUGGCAACAGUCUUGAAAACUGUCGGGGCAACCCAUCGUGAGUUCGAGUCUCACCGCUUCCG